CUCUCUAGCCUUUGGCCGCCAUCCCCUCCCCCUAAUUCCCUCUCUCUUGUGCAGCCGCCCCCCCAUCCCCUCAACCCUAGCCGCCACCCCCUCCCAUCUCCUGCUCUCCAAGUGAUGUCCUUCCUCGCCGAAUCUUCUUCGUGUGGGUGCAAGUUCCGAUUGGAGAAUUGGUGGGAGGAAGUAAGGAGGAAGAGAGGAACCCAAGGUGACUUUGUGAUUAUCUUUUGUUGUUUAUGUGCUGCAAUCAAAUUGAUUAUAUGUUUACCCAUGCGAAUCGGUAGAGGUGCUGUCCGGAAAUUUUGUGGGUGGGCGAACAGCAGUAGUUCUAGUGAUUUCUGGGAUUUUUUUGUGGGUUAUUAGUGAGGAUCAGUGGGAGAAUCAUGUAGAUCUUUUUCAUACCUUUCCAACGAGUACUUAUGUGCUCGAUUCGGAGUUAUAUUUUAGGAGAUAUCGUGGUUUGAAUCCGGGUAUGUGGCUGUCCAAAAAAACAGAUUUCUGCAGGUGAGCGAACAGCAGUAGUUCUAGUGAUUUCUGGGAAUUUUUCGUGGGUUAUUAGUGGGGAUCAGUGGGAGAAUCAUGUAGAGCUUUGUCAUACCUUUCCAACGAGUACUUAUGCGCUCGAUUCGGAGUUAUAUAUUAGGAGACAUCGCGGUUUGAAUCCGGGUAUGUGGCUGUCCAAAAAACAGAUUUCUGAAGGUGAGCAAACAGCAAUAGUAUUAGCAGUUUCUGGGCAUUUUUCGUGGGAAAUUAGUGAUAAUCAAUAUGAGAAUCAUGUAGAGCCUUGUCAUACCUUUCCAACGAGUACUUAUGCUUUCGAUUCGGAGUUAUAAUUUAGGAGAUAUCGCUGUUUGAAUCCGGUUAUGUUGGUGUCCAAAAACAGAUUGCAGGGUGUAUCUUGUAGACGGGUUUGGGCUAAUUAGAUGUUGGAAUUUAAUUAUCAUUUGAAUAUAAAACUUGUGUGGAAUUUUAUGUAGAUGCUUCUGGAGUUUUUGAUUGAUAUCACUUCUGUUAUAAUUUUAAAGUUAUGAAAUUAUCAAGCAGCGCCGCUGCAGUGUGGUGGUGAUGGGGAGAGUUGUCGCUCGCGACGGGUUGGAAUUGUGCGUAGGUGCGGCGUUGUUUAGUAGCAUUUGUUAUGUUGAUCUGUGCACUAAGGUGUGUGUCAAAAACAGGUGGUGGACUUCCGGAUCGUACUUAGCACCAUUCCAAAUUCCCGGUGAAGGCAAGUAAAUACAGUUGUGGUUGCUACCGUUUGGUUUGCAUUCUAUGCCUUGUCAUUGAGUAUGCAUAAGUAUUAAAUGUGUUAAUCAUUGAAUUCUAUGACGAAGUUUAUUUGUUCGAAAGUAUUAAUUCUCAAUUGUCUAAUAUUGAGGAUGACCAUGAUUUUGGAAUGAUAUAUGUGGUUGAUUCCCAAUUGGAUGAAGUUGAAGUAUUUUUUUUGAAUCACGUUAUAUGAAGUGUUGUAGGCAUGUCAUGCAUCGCAUCAUCCAUCUUACAUGUUGAAGUUAUGUCGUGACCUUAUGGUCCGACCAUACCGGUACACUUUUAGCAUCGUACGUUUCCCGAGGAGGGGUACGAUGCGGCUUCAUAUCCUUAGAGGUAUGAAGGCAGAAGUCAUCCUUGCAUUUGCAGACAUUUGCACUCAUGAGGUAUAUGAAGUGUGACAUUACUAUGUUACUAUUAUGGUUUCUACCUGCGAGGUGUGGUAACUAGGUGUGUUGUACGUUGUAUUCGUGCUGCACCUUCGUAAUAUGAAGGUUGUGAAAUCAAGUGGUGGUAAAACAAUGUUCUUAUGUGGUUAAACAGUUUGUUAUUAUUUUACUUGCUGAGAUGUGUCAUCUCACUCUUGCAUUACUCAAUGCAGGUACUUGAUACAUGUUAGGAAUGAGG
RNAcentral lists this long non-coding RNA (1887 nucleotides) under Zea mays. RNAcentral's name for it is "long non-coding RNA (ZMAY_LNC005188)". The record is from RNAcentral. Lineage: Eukaryota; Viridiplantae; Streptophyta; Magnoliopsida; Poales; Poaceae.